CACUUUUGGUUUUGUUGCUGUUUUUCACCAAUAGGACCUAUGCACUUGAUCUCUGCCUUGUCUCUUUGAGCAGGACACAUUUUGAGAAACAUGGAGGAUUUUUCAAUUCCCAGACUCUACCAAGUGAUGGACGUGGAUCUACGAGCACAAACACACUGAGCAAGAUACUGCCAAUGCCGCACCUCGAACUACUAGACAAACAAACAACAUGGGUGACACCGUAUCAAGAGGUGCAGAUGUCAAGGUCCACACCUAAAUCAAAUGACGCACCUAAAGAAUAAACACAGUGAGAAGUCUUAUUUAGAAGACUUAAAACAUUGAACCCUCGCCGAAAGGUAAAAUCGGUAGUUAUCCAUAUUUAUCCUUUCUGCAUUCCAUUUUUCCUUAAAUUAUUUACUUUCCUUAAAUGGCUUGUUAGUUAAUCAUGCUAUCUUGAAAAGAAAAUAAAAAUGUUAAAAACAAUAAGCCCCAUGUGAUUAUGCUCAUGGCAUAAAACCCAUAAGUACAUUCACUGUGGUGGCAUAAAAAUAAAAUAAAUAUAUUCCUGUCCUAUAAAAAUGAAAAUAUAAAAAUAAAUUUAUGAUCCUACCAGAGAGAGUAACAUUUAUUGAGGAGGCUCAACAUGAUAAAGGCAAGAUAUUUAUGCUAACACUUAACUAGUUCCACAAAGCUUUGUUAUCUAUUUGAGCUCCACAGAAUUCAAUGAUCAAAGAAGACUAGGAGACGGAGGACAUCCUAAUCACUGUCAGGGUGCUGCCGACAUUCAAAUACACCUCCGCCACC
Molecule: long non-coding RNA, 783 nt
Filed under: Sorghum bicolor (sorghum)
Lineage: Eukaryota; Viridiplantae; Streptophyta; Magnoliopsida; Poales; Poaceae
Description: long non-coding RNA (SBIC_LNC003122)
Source: RNAcentral